Long non-coding RNA from Oncorhynchus keta (chum salmon), 2905 nucleotides. RefSeq lists it as uncharacterized. The transcript has 3 exons. NCBI's taxonomy places the organism in Eukaryota, Metazoa, Chordata, Actinopteri, Salmoniformes, Salmonidae. The record is from RefSeq and is a predicted model, not a curated record.
UCUCUUUCUCUCUUUCUCUCUCUCUUUCUCUCUCUCUUUCUCUCUCUCUUUCUCUCGCUCUUUCUUUCUCUCUCUCGCUCUUUCUCUCUUUCUUUCUCUCUCUCUUUCUUUCUUUCUCUCUCUUUCUCUCUCUCUCCCUUUCUUUCUCUCCCCCUUUCUUCCUCUCUUUCUUUCUCUCUCUCUUUCUCUCUCUCUCUUUCUCUCUCUCUUUCUCUCUCUCUCCCUUUCUUUCUCUCCCCCUUUCUUUCUCUCUUUCUUUCUCUCUCUCUUUCUCUCUCUCUUUCUUUCUCUCUCUCUUUCUCUCUCUCUUUCUUUCUCUCUCUCUUUCUUUCUCUCUUUCUUUCUCUCUUUCUUUCUAUCUUUCUUUCUCUCUUUCAAGUGACAGUGAGCACAGCAGCACUCCAACUGAAGUCUCGUACAAAGGAUUAGCAAUAAAGAAAAACCCUUGAAUGAGUAGGUGAGUCUAAGCCCUUGAAUGAGUAGGUGAGUCCAAGCCCUUGAAUGAGUAGGUGAGUCUAAGCCCUUGAAUGAGUAGGUGAGUCCAAGCACUUGAAUGAGUAGGUGAGUCCAAGCCCUUGAAUGAGUAGGUGAGUCUAAGCCCUUGAAUGAGUAGGUGAGUCCAAGCCCUUGAAUGAGUAGGUGAGUCUAAGCCCUUGAAUGAGUAGGUGAGUCUAAGCCCUUGAAUGAGUAGGUGAGUCUAAGCCCUUGAAUGAGUAGGUGAGUCCAAGCCCUUGAAUGAGUAGGUGAGUCCAAGCCCUUGAAUGAGUAGGUGAGUCUAAGCCCUUGAAUGAGUAGGUGAGUCUAAGCCCUUGAAUGAGUAGGUGAGUCUAAGCCCUUGAAUGAGUAGGUGAGUCCAAGCCCUUGAAUGAGUAGGUGAGUCUAAGCCCUUGAAUGAGUAGGUGAGUCUAAGCCCUUGAAUGAGUAGGUGAGUCUAAGCCCUUGAAUGAGUAGGUGAGUCCAAGCCCUUGAAUGAGUAGGUGAGUCUAAGCCCUUGAAUGAGUAGGUGAGUCUAAGCCCUUGAAUGAGUAGGUGAGUCUAAGCCCUUGAAUGAGUAGGUGAGUCUAAGCCCUUGAAUGAGUAGGUGAGUCCAAGCCCUUGAAUGAGUAGGUGAGUCCAAACGUUUGAUUAGUACUGUACUCUGAACAAAAAUAUACAUGCAAAAUGUAAAGUGUUGGUCCUAAUGUUUCAUGAGAAGAGGUAAUGGCUCCCGAAUGGCUCAGCAGUCUAAAGGCACUGCAUCUCAGUGCUUGAGGCGUCAUUGCAUACACCCUGGUUCGAAUCCAGGCUGUAUCACAACCGGCCGUGAUUGGGAGUCUCAUAGGGCGGAGCACAAUUGGCCCAGCGUCGUUCGGGUUUAGCCGGAGUAGGUCGUCAUUGUAAAUAAGAAUUAGUUAUUUAACUGACUUGCCUGGUUAAAUUAAAGUUGAACUAAAACUUUACAUCGUGGUGUUAUAACGGUUAGCCUGUACUUGUCACGAUCGUUGUUGUAAAUCGACCACAGUGUUUAAUUUAUGAAACUCACCAAAACAGUACAGAAGAAAGAAAUGACCGUGAAGCUAUGUAGUGCUCACAAACAACAUAAAACAAGAUCCCACAACAAACAGGUGGAGAAAAGGCUGCCUAAAUAUGAUCCCCAAUCAGAGACAACGAUAAACAACUGCCUCUGAUUGGAACCAUACCAGGCCAACAUAGAAAUACAAAAACUAGAGUACUGACCUGAGUCACACCCUGACCUAACCAAAUUAGAGAAUAAAAGGCUCUCUAAGGUCAGGGCGUGACAGUGCUACAUGCUACAUUGCGGUCCUAUAACUGUUAGCCUGUACUACAUGCAAAAUUGUGGUGCAUUCCACAAGCUUCCCUCAAUAAGUUGGGUGAAUUUUGGCCCAUUCCUCCUGACAGAGCUGGUGUAACUGAGUCAGGUUUGUAGGCCUCCACAUGAUGCCAUCUAUUUUGCAAAGUGCACCAGUCCCUCCCUCCUCCAGUCCCUUUUGUUUCAUCAGACCAGAGGACAUUUCUCCAAAAAGUACAAUCUUUGUCCCCAUGUGAAGUUGCAAACCGUAGUCUUUUUUUUUAUGGCGGAUUUGGAGCAGUGGCUUCUUCCUUGCUGAGCGGACAGGUUAUGUCGAUAUAGGACUCGUUUUACUGUGGAUAUAGAUACAUUUGCAUCUGUUUCCUCCAGCAUCUUCACAAGGUCCUUUGCUGUUGUUCUGGGAUUGAUAUGCACUUUUCUCACCACAGUACGUUCAUCUCCAGGAGACAGAACACAUCUCCUUCCUGAGUGGUAUGACGGCUGCGUGGUCCCAUGGUGUUUAUGCUGGCGUACUGUUGUUUGUACAGAUGAACGUGGUACCUUCAGGCGUUUGGAAAUUGCUCCCAAGGAUGAACCAGACUUUUGGAGGGCUACAAUUUUUUUGCUGAGGUCUUGGUUGAUUUAUUUUGAUUUUCCCAUGAUGUCAAACAAAGAGACACUGAGUUUGAAGGUAGGCCUUGAAAUACAUCCACAGGUACACCUCCAACUGACAAAUGAUGCUAAUUAACCUAUCAGAAGCUUCUAAAGCCAUGACAUAAUUGUCUGGAAUUUUCCAAGCUGUUUAAAGGCACAGUCAACUUAGUGUAUGUAAACUUCUGACCCACUGGAAUUGUGAUACAGUGAAUUAUAAGUGAAAUAAUCUGUCUGUAAACAAUUGUUGGAAAAAUAACUUGUAUCAUGGACAAAGUAGAUGUCCUAACCGACUUGACAAAACUAUAGUUUGUUAACAAGACAUUUGUGGAGUGGUGACGUGAGUAACGACCCUGCUGACUUGAGUAACGACCCUGCUGACGUGAGUAACGACCCUGCUGACGUGAAUAACGACCCUGCUGACGUGAGUAACGACCCUGCUGACGUGAGUAACGACCCUGCUGA